CAAUCCACUGAAUGGAGGGAACAAGACUGUGAUUGGUGUUAUGGAAAAUAAAAUAUCCAUAAGCAUCAAAGUUAGAACAUUCGUGUUCUAAGACAUGGUUUACAUGAAACAUUUUUGUUUUCAUAGGGGUAUUAUUUUAUGAAAAUUGAGGGUUUCAAAGGCACUAAAUUCAAAACUACAUGUUCGAGUUUAGUUAUGAAUCUUCUAGUUCAUAAAAUGAGGUACAUGUAAGAACACAUAAUACACUAUACAACUAAGUGAAGUGGAUUUUGGUUGCUUCAGAAACUCAAGUGUGAGUGCUUACGAAAAGGAGUCAGUGGUUCAAAGAAAAGAAUUAAAAUAUUGAAUCGUUACUGUCCAAAAAUAGGCUUCAGGCCAAUAAUUUUGGAUGUCUUGUCAAAUUAGUGGAUUGCUGGUCACUUUAAUAAAUUCAAUAGAUCGAGACCAUUUGGGGUCGAUCGUAGAAGAAAAAUAAUAUAAAGAUUCAAGCUUAUGCACAUAAGUCAUGUUGGCUGCAAGCCAAUUAGAAGGCAACCCAAAAAAAUUUAGGCUCAAAUUUGUUGUGGGCAGCCCCAGCCUAAGCGGGGUUGCGAACCAAGUCAAAAGGGAAGCCCAAUUGGACUUGGUCCAUGAGCCGUUAUGGCGGCGACGAUAUCAAUCCAAAACUAAGGUCAAAAUCCUUA
Molecule: long non-coding RNA, 683 nt
Filed under: Malus domestica (apple)
Lineage: Eukaryota; Viridiplantae; Streptophyta; Magnoliopsida; Rosales; Rosaceae
Description: long non-coding RNA (MDOM_LNC010699)
Source: RNAcentral